UGGGGAAUAUUGCACAAUGGGCGCAAGCCUGAUGCAGCCAUGCCGCGUGUAUGAAGAAGGCCUUCGGGUUGUAAAGUACUUUCAGCGGGGAGGAAGGUGUUGAGGUUAAUAACCUCAGCAAUUGACGUUACCCGCAGAAGAAGCACCGGCUAACUCCGUGCCAGCAGCCGCGGUAAUACGGAGGGUGCAAGCGUUAAUCGGAAUUACUGUGCGUAAAGCGCACGCAGGCGGUCUGUCAAGUCGGAUGUGAAAUCCCCGGGCUCAACCUGGGAACUGCAUUCGAAACUGGCAGGCUAGAGUCUUGUAGAGGGGGGUAGAAUUCCAGGUGUAGCGGUGAAAUGCGUAGAGAUCUGGAGGAAUACCGGUGGCGAAGGCGGCCCCCUGGACAAAGACUGACGCUCAGGUGCGAAAGCGUGGGGAGCAAACA
Molecule: ribosomal RNA, 427 nt
Filed under: uncultured bacterium
Lineage: Bacteria
Description: partial 16S ribosomal RNA
Rfam family: Bacterial small subunit ribosomal RNA
Source: RNAcentral